Molecule: ribosomal RNA, 301 nt
Filed under: uncultured bacterium
Lineage: Bacteria
Description: partial 16S ribosomal RNA
Rfam family: Bacterial small subunit ribosomal RNA
Source: RNAcentral
CAGUAGCCACGGUAAUACGUAGGUGGCAAGCGUUGUCCGGAAUUAUUGGGCGUAAAGCGCGCGCAAGUGGUUUAAUAAGUCUGAUGUGAAAGCCCACGGCUCAACCGUGGAGGGACAUUGGAAACUGUUAAACUUGAGUGCAGGAGAGAAAAGUGGAAUUCCUAGUGUAGCGGUGAAAUGCGUAGAGAUGUGGAGGAACACCAGUGGCGAAGGCGACUCUCUGGUCUGUAACUGACGCUGAGGAGCGAAAGCGUGGGGGGCGAACAGGAUUAGAUACCCCCGUAGUCCCUGUCUCUUAUAC